UUUCACCCCCUGACCUAAUAUAGGCACUUGGAUAUCGGCCCGCGCGGCCCGAGAUUUUCGUUCACCUGCGGCCGCCGCGUUUUGUGUCAGAAAUCGGGCCCCGUGAGGGGGGUACCUAUUUGUUUUGUUUCGUUUAUAGUGUUCUUUUCAAUUUAUGGAUUACUUCCGCCUAUCAAAUUAAAGAGGAAAGAAAGGCGCGUAUUAUGGCGUUUUCCACUUCGGGAUCGGUUGUGUGUGUUCGGAGUUACAAGGAGUUAAAAAUAAGCCCCUGAUCACAACCUGCCACUGUUCCAUUGGAUUUAUUGACAGCUCACCAGAAUAAAUCCUGACUUUAAUUAAAAUCCAGAAAUGCUUGCGGAGUUGGUCGAAUUCACAGAAAAACUUGUUUGAACAAGUUGCAAAAAAAUUGAGCACUUAAGAAAGCAUUUGUUGCAGACAAGAAAAAAAAAUUGACAUUAAUUUAACAAUAUCAAGUUGGCAGACUGGGUGAACUAAACAAUUGCCAGAAAUAAAGAAAGAAUAAAUAAGUAUCGUGACACAAUUGCGUGCUUCAAAAAACAUGUCAUAUUUCACAACUAAUUGUCUUUGAAGAAGUUGAACAUUUAAAUAAACACAAUAAAAAUAUAAUGAAAAACUUGCUGAACAAACUGAAGUAAUAAAAUUAGAAGAGACUAUUGUUUAACUUACAGGGCAAUCUCAUGAGUUAAAGAUGUAAAAGAGAAAUCAAAGAUAAAGACAGAGUAAUUGAUCAUUUACAUGACAAAUUAAAACAUGAAAGAAACAUUCUAACAAUAACAUGCAAAA
This 804-nucleotide long non-coding RNA is filed under the name Aplysia californica (California sea hare). RNAcentral's name for it is "uncharacterized LOC106012915". The record is from RNAcentral. Lineage: Eukaryota; Metazoa; Mollusca; Gastropoda; Aplysiida; Aplysiidae.